GCUGCUGGGAACCGGCCGGGGUGCCGGGUCGAAAGACAGACGCGCGGGCCGGGCGUGCGCGGGCUUGGUGGAGGGCGGGAAGGCUGAAGGGCGGUGACAGGUCGCACUGCCUCGCGAGGGCCAGAACGCCCAUUUCUGCAGAGGCAGAAGGUGAGGCGUCUACGCCCUCUCUCACCAGAUUUUGGGCGGCCCUGUGGAGACACCCUGUGCCCUUUAAGGGACAUGGAUUGAGUCGGGAUCUCAAAAUCUGCCUUAAUCCAUGUUCCCUUCGGGAUGCUGGUAUCCAACUGAGAAGUUGACGGAGCAUCUAUCGUGUGCCAGACACUGUGCUAAGUGCUAACGAGAAAUCGGUGAGCAAAACAGAAAAGAAAAAAAAAGAAGAAACGACUGCCAGCAUUGAACUUAGUACCUAGCAAAGUAGGUGGACAUAAAUCAAAUUGUCAGACAAGUAAAUGAGUAGUUGCAGCUGUGAUAAGGGGUAUGAAGAAUAGGCGCUUCCAUGAUGGCGGAACAUGACCUAGUCUGGGGUGGAGAAGGGGAGAUGAUUCCAGCUGGAAUAUGGCAGGUGAGAGUUAACUAAUAGCACUGAGUUGGCAGAGGCAGGAUGACCUGCCCCAGGCAGGUGCCCCAGAAUGAGAGGAUGUUGCUGCUGGUGGAACUCCAGCUUUAAAGCGGUGGAUCUAGGGCCACAUUCCUCAAGGCCAUAGCAAACAGGAAAGACCUUUUGGACUAGGGUCUUUGGAGUAGUCACAUGAGGCCAAGAACCCAAUAGGGCUGAAAGAGAAUCUCAUCAUAGGCUGAAUGGGAGCAGAGCAUUAGCUGCAACUCCAAUGUAUUAUAGUAAAAGGGGACACAUUGAUUAGAAUGAUUAUACCCCUCCAAGUGUAAGCUGUUGUUCAAUUUACCCAGGGCUUAAAAAUAUGUCAACUCUUCACAACCAUUUUUACUACAAGCCACACUCAACCUGUGUUGUUCCCUGAACCUGUGAUGCACUUUCAUCCGUUCAUGUCUCUACACAUCCUUCCUGGGCCCCAUAGAGGCCCUGCACCUUAAGGUUUUCAGCUGGAUUCCUAUUAGCUAGUUAUUUUAUCUCAGGUACAGAGAGUUAACUUUGCUCCUCAAUUUUCAGCACAUUGUCAUAUCAGUCCCUACAGGGUCCUUGUUUACAUUAUUUUAUAGUGUUUAUAUUAUUUUUUCCUCAUCUUUCUCGAUCCCCACUCUCAUUCUUCUAGACACAAGCUGCAAUAUGUUCGAUAGAGAUCCUUGAUAAUUUAACACAGAUAAUGUUUUGUUUAUGCCUCUUGCAUUUACAGAGAUGGUAUUGGACUGUAAAUCUCUAUUUCCCACUGUUUUACUCAACAGUCUGUUUUUGAGCUAUACCCACAUUGCUGUGUGUACACCUAGUUUGCUACCGAGUAUGCCAGAAAUUUUAUUCAUACAUAUCCCUACUGAUCGGGCAUCUAGGUUACUGCCAACUCCCUGAAGUCAUACUGUGGUGAAAACCCUUGUGAAUGUCUUUACAAACCUUUGCCAGAACUUAUUUUGUGCUCUUGUAGAACUUUGUGCAUACCCUCUGCUUCCUCAUUACACUGCUUGGCAUAUAGCAGAGACUCAACAAAUGUUGAAUACCUCUACUAUGAUGGUUAGUGUACUAGAAUAAUUUAUUUAUAUUUCUGUUUUCCUUAUUGGAUUAUUAGUACCUUCCAGACAGGGCAAAUGUCUUUUCUAUCUUUGUGUCCCUGGCACAUUAAAAGUGGUUGAUUUCAAGGUAUGUUCAAUGAAUGAAUAAAUACUUAUCUUCACUGCCAGUAC
RNAcentral lists this long non-coding RNA (1812 nucleotides) under Homo sapiens (human). RNAcentral's name for it is "non-protein coding FMR1-AS1:19". Lineage: Eukaryota; Metazoa; Chordata; Mammalia; Primates; Hominidae. The record is from RNAcentral.